Non-coding RNA from Capsicum annuum, 107 nucleotides. Lineage: Eukaryota; Viridiplantae; Streptophyta; Magnoliopsida; Solanales; Solanaceae. The record is from Rfam.
UAAUGAUAGUGAGGGAAAUUUCUAAGCAUACUUUCAAAUCUCUUCCAAGCUUGGUAAAGAUUCUCUCCUUCUUUUUAUGUGAAACUCAAAAUCUCACUUCUCAAACA